RNAcentral lists this ribosomal RNA (507 nucleotides) under uncultured bacterium. Its description in RNAcentral is "bacterial SSU rRNA". It matches the Rfam family "Bacterial small subunit ribosomal RNA", at positions 28 to 496 of the family's 1533-position model. The record is from RNAcentral.
GACGAACGCUGGCGGCGUGCCUAAUACAUGCAAGUCGAACGCACUCUCGUUUAGAUUGAAGGAGCUUGCUCCUGAUUGAUAAACAUUUGAGUGAGUGGCGGACGGGUGAGUAACACGUGGGUAACCUGCCCUAAAGUGGGGGAUAACAUUUGGAAACAGAUGCUAAUACCGCAUAAAACCUAACACCGCAUGGUGUAGGGUUGAAAGAUGGUUUCGGCUAUCACUUUAGGAUGGACCCGCGGUGCAUUAGUUAGUUGGUGAGGUAAAGGCUCACCAAGACCGUGAUGCAUAGCCGACCUGAGAGGGUAAUCGGCCACACUGGGACUGAGACACGGCCCAGACUCCUACGGGAGGCAGCAGUAGGGAAUCUUCCACAAUGGACGAAAGUCUGAUGGAGCAACGCCGCGUGAGUGAAGAAGGUUUCGGAUCGUAAACUCUGUUGUUGGAGAAGAAUGUAUCUGAUAGUAACUGAUCAGGUAGUGACGGUAUCCAACCAGAAAGCCACGG